AUUGAACGCUGGCGGCAGGCCUAACACAUGCAAGUCGAACGAGUGGCGGACGGGUGAGUAAUGUCUGGUAAACUGGCUGAUGGAGGGGGAUAACUACUGGAAACGGUAGCUAAUACCGCAUACCAUCGGAUGUGCCCAGAUGGGAUUAGCUAGUAGGUGUGGUAAAGGCUCACCUAGGCGACGAUCCCUAGCUGGUGUGAGAGGAUGACCGGCCACACUGGAACUGAGAAACGGUCCAGACUCCUACGGGAGGCAGCAGGGGGGAAUAUUGCAAAAUGGGCGCAAGCCGGAUGCAGCAAUGCCGCGGGGAUGAAGAGGGCCUUCGGGUGGUAAAGUACUUUCAGCGGGGAGGCGUUACCCGCAGAAGAAGCAACGGCUAACUCCGUGCCAGCAGCCGCGGUAAUUC
This 406-nucleotide ribosomal RNA is filed under the name uncultured bacterium. Its description in RNAcentral is "partial 16S ribosomal RNA". It matches the Rfam family "Bacterial small subunit ribosomal RNA", at positions 29 to 526 of the family's 1533-position model. The record is from RNAcentral.